This 497-nucleotide ribosomal RNA is filed under the name uncultured bacterium. RNAcentral's name for it is "partial 16S ribosomal RNA". It matches the Rfam family "Bacterial small subunit ribosomal RNA", at positions 28 to 507 of the family's 1533-position model. The record is from RNAcentral.
GAUGAACGCUGGCGGCGUGCCUAAUACAUGCAAGUCGAGCGAACAGACGAGGAGCUUGCUCCUCUGACGUUAGCGGCGGACGGGUGAGUAACACGUGGAUAACCUACCUAUAAGACUGGGAUAACUUCGGGAAACCGGAGCUAAUACCGGAUAAUAUAUUGAACCGCAUGGUUCAAUAGUGAAAGACGGUUUUGCUGUCACUUAUAGAUGGAUCCGCGCCGCAUUAGCUAGUUGGUAAGGUAACGGCUUACCAAGGUAACGAUGCGUAGCCGACCUGAGAGGGUAAUCGGCCACACUGGAACUGAGACACGGUCCAGACUCCUACGGGAGGCAGCAGUAGGGAAUCUUCCGCAAUGGGCGAAAGCCUGACGGAGCAACGCCGCGUGAGUGAUGAAGGUCUUCGGAUCGUAAAACUCUGUUAUUAGGGAAGAACAAAUGUGUAAGUAACUAUGCACGUCUUGACGGUACCUAAUCAGAAAGCCACGGCUAACUACGUG